CCAUACUGCUCCUGAGAAAUUUUGCUGGAGCAACCGUGAAAGUAUGGACGCUACCUAAAAGGAAACUUUUGUUUAGCAUGUUCACCUGGAGUCUCUUACUGUGCAUAGUCCUUGGUCAAGACAGCAGUCAUGGAAUGACAAAGUAGGAGAGUGGUGACUUGGAGGUGCUUUUCCAUAAAAGACAGAAAAUCCUAGCAAUAUGAGAAGAUGAGAGGAUGAAGGAAUGGCAAGACCUCUUCUGGUGUUAUUUCCAGACAAGAAAAAAGAAACCCAGUGCUGCAAGAAAUAUCACCAAAGCCCAAAUAUAUAUGCAUAGACGAUAGAGAUAUGGGCGAUGAUCGUUUUCACUGGGGACUCCCACAGAUGAACUGGAAGCAAACACUGGUGGAAGGUAUUGGAUUGCCCAGCACCUGGAGGCAUCAGCCUGUAAUCACCUCAUACACCUGGGUUUGGUUCCUGUCAAUUUGCAACGAGAAAAAAAAAUCACAAUAUUCUUGUCAUAUUGCCAGAGGAAGUGGGUGACCUUAAGCAAUGCAGAAAGUUUGAGCAUCUUAUCUCGAUUGCAAAAUGAGGCUGGGGACGUGGAACAUGGUGACUUGAGAACAUAUAUUUGAAAGCACACUAUCAUCAUAACAUCAUUGUAAUUACAUUCUUCUAUAUUCAUUGAUUCUUAUUGCUGCUCGUCAAAACUUGUGUCCCCACCCAAAUGUGUAUAUUGAAAUCCUAGGGCAUCCCCGGUGGCUCAGCGGUUUAGCGCCUGUCUUCAGCCUGGGGCAUGAUCCUGGAGACCCAGGAUUGAGUCCCACAUCGGGUUCCCUGCAUGGAGCCGGCUUCUCCCUCUGCCUC
Long non-coding RNA from Canis lupus familiaris (dog), 846 nucleotides. RefSeq lists it as uncharacterized. NCBI's taxonomy places the organism in Eukaryota, Metazoa, Chordata, Mammalia, Carnivora, Canidae. The record is from RefSeq and is a predicted model, not a curated record. The transcript has 3 exons.